This 432-nucleotide ribosomal RNA is filed under the name uncultured bacterium. RNAcentral's name for it is "partial 16S ribosomal RNA". It matches the Rfam family "Bacterial small subunit ribosomal RNA", at positions 29 to 507 of the family's 1533-position model. The record is from RNAcentral.
AACGAACGCUGGCGGCAUGCCUAACACAUGCAAGUCGAACGAGACCUUCGGGUCUAGUGGCGCACGGGUGCGUAACGCGUGGGAACCUGCCCUUAGGUUCGGAAUAACUCCCCGAAAGGGGUGCUAAUACCGGAUAAUGUCUUCGGACCAAAGAUUUAUCGCCUUUGGAUGGGCCCGCGUUGGAUUAGCUAGUUGGUAGGGUAAAAGCCUACCAAGGCGACGAUCCAUAGCUGGUCUGAGAGGAUGAUCAGCCACACUGGGACUGAGACACGGCCCAGACUCCUACGGGAGGCAGCAGUGGGGAAUAUUGGACAUGGGCGAAAGCCUGAUCCAGCAAUGCCGCGUGAGUGAUGAAGGCCUUAGGGUUGUAAAGCUCUUUUACCCGGGAUGAUAAUGACAGUACCGGGAGAAUAAGCUCCGGCUAACUCCGUG